CGCCUUUUGAAUUAUAAACAUAAAAGGUCCUGCCUGCCCAGUGACACUUGUUUCAACGGCCGCGGUAUCAUGACCGUGCAAAGGUAGCGUAAUCACUUGUCUUUUAAAUAAAGACCAGUAUGAAUGGCAAGACGAAAGCCUAACUGUCUCCCUAAGCUAAUCAAUGAAAUUGAUCUUCCCGUGCAGAAGCGGGAAUAACGAUAUAAGACGAGAAGACCCUGUGGAGCUUCAAAAUUAAGCUAACAUCAUAAUGCCUUAGCACACAAUUUUAGGUUGGGGCGACCAUGAGGUAAAACAUAACCCUCAAGACAAAAACUAAGAAGGACACUUCAAAUAAAUAAUAUUAUAGUAAUUGACCCAAUAAUUGAUCAACGAACCAAGUUACCCCAGGGAUAACAGCGCAAUCUACUCAAAGAGCCCUUAUCGACGAGCAGGUUUACGACCUCGAUGUUGGAUCAGGACUCCCAAAUAAUGUAACAAUUAUUAAAGGUUCGUUUGUUCAACGAUUAAAGUCCU
Molecule: ribosomal RNA, 516 nt
Filed under: Pseudoeurycea papenfussi (muscular salamander)
Lineage: Eukaryota; Metazoa; Chordata; Amphibia; Caudata; Plethodontidae
Description: partial 16S ribosomal RNA
Rfam family: Bacterial large subunit ribosomal RNA
Source: RNAcentral